CCUACGGGGGGCAGCAGUCGAGAAUCAUUCACAAUGGGGGAAACCCUGAUGGUGCGACGCCGCGUGGGGGAAUGAAGGUCUUCGGAUUGUAAACCCCUGUCAUGUGGGAGCAAAUUAAAAAGAUAGUACCACAAGAGGAAGAGACGGCUAACUCUGUACCAGCAGCCGCGGUAAUACAGAGGUCUCAAGCGUUGUUCGGAAUCACUGGGCGUAAAGCGUGCGUAGGCUGUUUAGUAAGUCGUGUGUGAAAGGCGGGGGCUCAACCCGCGGACGGCACAUGAUACUGCGAGACUAGAGUAAUGGAGGGGGAACCGGAAUUCUCGGUGUAGCAGUGAAAUGCGUAGAUAUCGAGAGGAACACUCGUGGCGAAGGCGGGUUCCUGGACAGUAACUGACGCUGAGGCACGAAGGCCAGGGGAGCGAAAGGGAUUAGAUACCCCUGUAGUC
Molecule: ribosomal RNA, 446 nt
Filed under: uncultured bacterium
Lineage: Bacteria
Description: partial 16S ribosomal RNA
Rfam family: Bacterial small subunit ribosomal RNA
Source: RNAcentral